AUUGAACGCUGGCGGCAUGCCUUACACAUGCAAGUCGAACGGCAGCAUAGGAGCUUGCUCCUGAUGGCGAGUGGCGAACGGGUGAGUAAUAUAUCGGAACGUGCCCUAGAGUGGGGGAUAACUAGUCGAAAGACUAGCUAAUACCGCAUACGAUCUACGGAUGAAAGUGGGGGAUCGCAAGACCUCAUGCUCCUGGAGCGGCCGAUAUCUGAUUAGGUAGUUGGUGGGGUAAAAGCUCACCAAGGCGACGAUCAGUAGCUGGUCGGGGAGGACGACCAGCCACACUGGGAAUGAGACACGGCCCAGACCCCUACGGGAGGCAGCAGUGGGGAAUUUUGGAAAAUGGGGGCAACCCUGAUCCAGCAAUGCCGCGUGAGUGAAGAAGGCCUUCGGGUUGUAAAGCUCUUUUGUCAGGGAAGAAACGGUUCUGGAUAAUACCUGGGACUAAUGACGGUACCUGAAGAAUAAGCACCGGCUAACUACGUGCCAGCCGCCGCAGUAA
Molecule: ribosomal RNA, 502 nt
Filed under: uncultured bacterium
Lineage: Bacteria
Description: partial 16S ribosomal RNA
Rfam family: Bacterial small subunit ribosomal RNA
Source: RNAcentral